Molecule: ribosomal RNA, 2737 nt
Filed under: Salmonella enterica subsp. enterica serovar Tennessee
Lineage: Bacteria; Pseudomonadati; Pseudomonadota; Gammaproteobacteria; Enterobacterales; Enterobacteriaceae
Description: bacterial LSU rRNA
Rfam family: Bacterial large subunit ribosomal RNA
Source: RNAcentral
UGGCAGUCAGAGGCGAUGAAGGGCGUGCUAAUCUGCGAUAAGCGCCGGUAAGGUGAUAUGAACCGUUAUAACCGGCGAUACCCGAAUGGGGAAACCCAGUGUGACUCGUCACACUAUCAUUAACUGAAUCCAUAGGUUAAUGAGGCGAACCGGGGGAACUGAAACAUCUAAGUACCCCGAGGAAAAGAAAUCAACCGAGAUUCCCCCAGUAGCGGCGAGCGAACGGGGAGGAGCCCAGAGCCUGAAUCAGCAUGUGUGUUAGUGGAAGCGUCUGGAAAGGCGCGCGAUACAGGGUGACAGCCCCGUACACAAAAGCGCAUGUGCUGUGAGCUCGAUGAGUAGGGCGGGACACGUGGUAUCCUGUCUGAAUAUGGGGGGACCAUCCUCCAAGGCUAAAUACUCCUGACUGACCGAUAGUGAACCAGUACCGUGAGGGAAAGGCGAAAAGAACCCCGGCGAGGGGAGUGAAAAAGAACCUGAAACCGUGUACGUACAAGCAGUGGGAGCACAGGUUUACCUGUGUGACUGCGUACCUUUUGUAUAAUGGGUCAGCGACUUAUAUUCUGUAGCAAGGUUAACCGAAUAGGGGAGCCGGAGGGAAACCGAGUCUUAAUUGGGCGUUAAGUUGCAGGGUAUAGACCCGAAACCCGGUGAUCUAGCCAUGGGCAGGUUGAAGGUUGGGUAACACUAACUGGAGGACCGAACCGACUAAUGUUGAAAAAUUAGCGGAUGACCUGUGGCUGGGGGUGAAAGGCCAAUCAAACCGGGAGAUAGCUGGUUCUCCCCGAAAGCUAUUUAGGUAGCGCCUCGUGAAUUCAUCUCCGGGGGUAGAGCACUGUUUCGGCUAGGGGGCCAUCCCGGCUUACCAACCCGAUGCAAACUGCGAAUACCGGAGAAUGUUAUCACGGGAGACACACGGCGGGUGCUAACGUCCGUCGUGAAGAGGGAAACAACCCAGACCGCCAGCUAAGGUCCCAAAGUCAUGGUUAAGUGGGAAACGAUGUGGGAAGGCCCAGACAGCCAGGAUGUUGGCUUAGAAGCAGCCAUCAUUUAAAGAAAGCGUAAUAGCUCACUGGUCGAGUCGGCCUGCGCGGAAGAUGUAACGGGGCUAAACCAUGCACCGAAGCUGCGGCAGCGANNUGCUGGAGGUAUCAGAAGUGCGAAUGCUGACAUAAGUAACGAUAAAGCGGGUGAAAAGCCCGCUCGCCGGAAGACCAAGGGUUCCUGUCCAACGUUAAUCGGGGCAGGGUGAGUCGACCCCUAAGGCGAGGCCGAAAGGCGUAGUCGAUGGGAAACGGGUUAAUAUUCCCGUACUUGGUGUUACUGCGAAGGGGGGACGGAGAAGGCUAUGUUGGCCGGGCGACGGUUGUCCCGGUUUAAGCGUGUAGGUGUGUGUUCCAGGUAAAUCCGGUUCACUUUAACACUGAGGCGUGACGACGAGGCACUACGGUGCUGAAGCAACAAAUGCCCUGCUUCCAGGAAAAGCCUCUAAGCAUCAGGUAACAUCAAAUCGUACCCCAAACCGACACAGGUGGUCAGGUAGAGAAUACCAAGGCGCUUGAGAGAACUCGGGUGAAGGAACUAGGCAAAAUGGUGCCGUAACUUCGGGAGAAGGCACGCUGACAUGUAGGUGAAGUGAUUUACUCAUGGAGCUGAAGUCAGUCGAAGAUACCAGCUGGCUGCAACUGUUUAUUAAAAACACAGCACUGUGCAAACACGAAAGUGGACGUAUACGGUGUGACGCCUGCCCGGUGCCGGAAGGUUAAUUGAUGGGGUCAGCGCAAGCGAAGCUCCUGAUCGAAGCCCCGGUAAACGGCGGCCGUAACUAUAACGGUCCUAAGGUAGCGAAAUUCCUUGUCGGGUAAGUUCCGACCUGCACGAAUGGCGUAAUGAUGGCCAGGCUGUCUCCACCCGAGACUCAGUGAAAUUGAACUCGCUGUGAAGAUGCAGUGUACCCGCGGCAAGACGGAAAGACCCCGUGAACCUUUACUAUAGCUUGACACUGAACAUUGAGCCUUGAUGUGUAGGAUAGGUGGGAGGCUUUGAAGUGUGGACGCCAGUCUGCAUGGAGCCGACCUUGAAAUACCACCCUUUAAUGUUUGAUGUUCUAACGUGGACCCGUUAUCCGGGUUGCGGACAGUGUCUGGUGGGUAGUUUGACUGGGGCGGUCUCCUCCUAAAGAGUAACGGAGGAGCACGAAGGUUGGCUAAUCCUGGUCGGACAUCAGGAGGUUAGUGCAAUGGCAUAAGCCAGCUUGACUGCGAGCGUGACGGCGCGAGCAGGUGCGAAAGCAGGUCAUAGUGAUCCGGUGGUUCUGAAUGGAAGGGCCAUCGCUCAACGGAUAAAAGGUACUCCGGGGAUAACAGGCUGAUACCGCCCAAGAGUUCAUAUCGACGGCGGUGUUUGGCACCUCGAUGUCGGCUCAUCACAUCCUGGGGCUGAAGUAGGUCCCAAGGGUAUGGCUGUUCGCCAUUUAAAGUGGUACGCGAGCUGGGUUUAGAACGUCGUGAGACAGUUCGGUCCCUAUCUGCCGUGGGCGCUGGAGAACUGAGGGGGGCUGCUCCUAGUACGAGAGGACCGGAGUGGACGCAUCACUGGUGUUCGGGUUGUCAUGCCAAUGGCACUGCCCGGUAGCUAAAUGCGGAAGAGAUAAGUGCUGAAAGCAUCUAAGCACGAAACUUGCCCCGUGCCGAAUCCCCCCUGAGACUUCAAGCCCCCCGCACGAACGUUGAAGACG